CACGAGUGUAUAUUUGAGUUGUUGAGGUUGAAGAGUUCGUAGCCGGGAGUUUGGGACGCUGAGAGGAACUGCUCAAGACGAGUGGGCCAGGAGGCGUCUCACGUGGUCGAACCGUGAUGAAAAGGUGAUGUUCAAAGUAGAUCUUAGGAUCGUUGAGCCUUUAUCUCGGGAUUCUAGAAGAUGUUCUUGGGCACUGGUGCCGAAGAAAAUGACAAACAGGAACGAGCGUGGCCGUCUGUAUUGCGUCGUGAGAGGUGAAAUUCUAUGAUCGCCGCAAGACAAUCCGAAGCGAAGGCUGUCGGCCAGGGCGUUUCCAUUGG
Molecule: ribosomal RNA, 320 nt
Filed under: uncultured eukaryote
Lineage: Eukaryota
Description: partial 18S ribosomal RNA
Rfam family: Eukaryotic small subunit ribosomal RNA
Source: RNAcentral